Molecule: ribosomal RNA, 292 nt
Filed under: uncultured bacterium
Lineage: Bacteria
Description: partial 16S ribosomal RNA
Rfam family: Bacterial small subunit ribosomal RNA
Source: RNAcentral
GUGCCAGCAGCCGCGGUAAGACAGAGGGUGCAAACGUUGUUCGGAAUUACUGGGCGUAAAGCGCGUGUAGGCGGUUCGUAAAGUCAGGUGUGAAAGCCCUGGGCUUAACCCAGGAAGUGCACUUGAAACUCACGAACUCGAGUCCCGGAGAGGAAGGCGGAAUUCUCGGUGUAGAGGUGAAAUUCGUAGAUAUCGAGAGGAACAUCGGUGGCGAAGGCGGCCUUCUGGACGGUGACUGACGCUGAGACGCGAAAGCGUGGGGAGCAAACAGGAUUAGAAACCCCCGUAGUCC